ACACUUUCUUUGUGUUUGUUUUAAUAUUAUGAUGAUCAAGCUGUUUCAGCUAUGGUAAUAAAUAGGCGUCAAAAUAAACUUAUCGGACCCGGGGGCGGUACCCGGCGCCUCCACCAAUAAAUUUUUAUGGGGGCGAAAUAGGAUCGACGAGAGUGUAAAAGGCAUUCUUUUACUCGGUAUAGUACCACCGUUAUCGGGCUAAUUUUAUAGUUGCAAACGACAACUAUGCUCCGGUCGCAGUAGCUGCAUAGCAGCUUGAGCACCGAAACUUAAGUCCUUGGCUCUAGCAAGUCAAGGCGGGGUCUGGGGGCACCUGGCAACAGAACGCCCCUUAA
Non-coding RNA from Rhizobiales bacterium TMED25, 335 nucleotides. The record is from Rfam. NCBI's taxonomy places the organism in Bacteria, Pseudomonadati, Pseudomonadota, Alphaproteobacteria, Hyphomicrobiales.